CCCUUAGAUGUCCUGGGCCGCACGCGCGCUACACUGAUGCAUGCAACGAGUUUAUAACCUUGGCCUGAAAGGUCUGGGUAAUCUUUUGAACGUGCAUCGUGAUAGGGAUAGAUUAUUGCAAUUGUUAAUCUUGAACGAGGAAUUCCUAGUAAACGCGAGUCAUCAGCUCGCAUUGAUUACGUCCCUGCCCCUUGUACACACCGCCCGUCGCACCUACCGAUUGAAUGGUUCGGUGAAGAUCUCGGACUUCGAUAUUUAAUCUUUAUUGAGUUUAUAUUGUGGGAAGUUAUCUAAACCUCAUCAUUUAGAGGAAGGUGAAGUCGUAACA
RNAcentral lists this ribosomal RNA (328 nucleotides) under uncultured eukaryote. RNAcentral describes it as "partial 18S ribosomal RNA". It matches the Rfam family "Eukaryotic small subunit ribosomal RNA", at positions 1470 to 1796 of the family's 1831-position model. The record is from RNAcentral.